UGAGACACGGCCCAGACUCCUACGGGAGGCAGCAGUGGGGAAUAUUGCACAAUGGGCGCAAGCCUGAUGCAGCGACGCCGCGUGAGGGAUGACGGCCUUCGGGUUGUAAACCUCUUUCAGCUCCGACGAAGCGCAAGUGACGGUAGGAGCAGAAGAAGCACCGGCCAACUACGUGCCAGCAGCCGCGGUAAUACGUAGGGUGCAAGCGUUGUCCGGAAUUACUGGGCGUAAAGAGCUCGUAGGCGGUUUGUCGCGUCGUCUGUGAAAUUCUGCAGCUUAACUGCAGGCGUGCAGGCGAUACGGGCAGACUUGAGUACUACAGGGGAGACUGGAAUUCCUGGUGUAGCGGUGAAAUGCGCAGAUAUCAGGAGGAACACCGGUGGCGAAGGCGGGUCUCUGGGUAGUAACUGACGCUGAGGAGCGAAAGCGUGGGUAGCGAACAGGAUUAGAUACCCUGGUAGUCCACGCCGUAAACGGUGGGUACUAGGUGUGGGUUUCAUUUCACGGAAUCCGUGCCGUAGCUAACGCAUUAAGUACCCCGCCUGGGGAGUACGGCCGCAAGGCUAAAACUCAAAGGAAUUGACGGGGGCCCGCACAAGCGGCGGAGCAUGUGGAUUAAUUCGAUGCAACGCGAAGAACCUUACCUGGGUUUGACAUACACCAGACGCAGUCAGAGAUGGCUGUUCCCUUGUGGUUGGUGUACAGGUGGUGCAUGGCUGUCGUCAGCUCGUGUCGUGAGAUGUUGGGUUAAGUCCCGCAACGAGCGCAACCCUUGUCCUGUAUUGCCAGCGGGUUAUGCCGGGGACUUGCAGGAGACUGCCGGGGUCAACUCGGAGGAAGGUGGGGAUGACGUCAAGUCAUCAUGCCCCUUAUGUCCAGGGCUUCACACAUGCUACAAUGGCUGGUACAGAGGGCUGCGAGACCGCGAGGUGGAGCGAAUCCCUUAAAGCCAGUCUCAGUUCGGAUUGGGGUCUGCAACUCGACCCCAUGAAGUCGGAGUCGCUAGUAAUCGCAGAUCAGCAACGCUGCGGUGAAUACGUUCCCGGGCCUUGUACACACCGCCCGUCACGUCAUGAAAGUCGGUAACA
RNAcentral lists this ribosomal RNA (1088 nucleotides) under Gordonia sputi. RNAcentral's name for it is "bacterial SSU rRNA". It matches the Rfam family "Bacterial small subunit ribosomal RNA", at positions 320 to 1419 of the family's 1533-position model. Lineage: Bacteria; Bacillati; Actinomycetota; Actinomycetes; Mycobacteriales; Gordoniaceae. The record is from RNAcentral.